CCUACGGGUGGCAGCAGUGAGGAAUAUUGGUCAAUGGGCGCGAGCCUGAACCAGCCAAGUAGCGUGAAGGAUGACUGCCCUACGGGUUGUAAACUUCUUUUAUAAAGGAAUAAAGUGAGGCACGUGUGCCUUUUUGUAUGUACUUUAUGAAUAAGGAUCGGCUAACUCCGUGCCAUCAGCCGCGGUAAUACGGAGGAUCCGAGCGUUAUCCGGAUUUAUUGGGUUUAAAGGGAGCGUAGAUGGGUUGUUAAGUCAGUUGUGAAAGUUUGCGGCUCAACCGUAAAAUUGCAAUUGAUACUGGCAGUCUUGAGUACAGUUGAGGUAGGCGGAAUUCGUGGUGUAGCGGUGAAAUGCUUAGAUAUCACGAAGAACUCCGAUUGCGAAGGCAGCUUACUAAACUGCCACUGACAUUGAGGCUCGAAAGUGUGGGUAUCAAACAGGAUUAGAUACCCCAGUAGUC
RNAcentral lists this ribosomal RNA (460 nucleotides) under uncultured bacterium. RNAcentral's name for it is "partial 16S ribosomal RNA". It matches the Rfam family "Bacterial small subunit ribosomal RNA", at positions 338 to 795 of the family's 1533-position model. The record is from RNAcentral.